ACGUACACUCCUACGGGAGGCAGCAGUGGGGAAUAUUGGACAAUGGGCGCAAGCCUGAUCCAGCCAUGCCGCGUGAGUGAUGAAGGCCCUAGGGUUGUAAAGCUCUUUCACCGGUGAAGAUAAUGACGGUAACCGGAGAAGAAGCCCCGGCUAACUUCGUGCCAGCAGCCGCGGUAAUACGAAGGGGGCUAGCGUUGUUCGGAUUUACUGGGCGUAAAGCGCACGUAGGCGGACUAUUAAGUCAGGGGUGAAAUCCCGGGGCUCAACCCCGGAACUGCCUUUGAUACUGGUAGUCUUGAGUUCGAGAGAGGUGAGUGGAAUUCCGAGUGUAGAGGUGAAAUUCGUAGAUAUUCGGAGGAACACCAGUGGCGAAGGCGGCUCACUGGCUCGAUACUGACGCUGAGGUGCGAAAGCGUGGGGAGCAAACAGGAUUAGAUACCCGAGUAGUCCCAUGAU
Molecule: ribosomal RNA, 456 nt
Filed under: uncultured organism
Description: partial 16S ribosomal RNA
Rfam family: Bacterial small subunit ribosomal RNA
Source: RNAcentral